GAUCCAUAUAAAAGUACAUCAUGUAUGUUUUGUGGUUUUGUACUCAAAAGUACAUCAUGUAUGUUUUGUGGUGGUGUGUGGUGGUGUGUGGAGGUGGUGUGGAGGUGGUGUAGUGGUGUGUGGAGGUGUGUGGUGGGGUGUGGAGGUGGUGUAGGGGUGUGUGGAGGUGUGUAGUGGUGUGUGGAGGUGGUGUAGUGGUGUGUGGAGGUGGUGUAGUGGGGUGUGGAGGCGUGUGGAGGUGGUGUAGUGGGGUGUGGAGGUGUGUGGAGGUGGUGUAGUGGUGUGUGGAGGUGUGUAGUGGUGUGUGGAGGUGGUGUAGUGGUGUGUGGAGGUGGUGUAGUGGGGUGUGGAGGCGUGUGGAGGUGUUGUAGUGGUGUGUGGAGGCGUGUGGAGGUGGUGUAGUGGUGUGUGGAGGUGUGUGGAGGUGGUGUAGUGGUGUGUGGAGGUGUGUAGUGGUGUGUGGAGGCGUGUGGAGGUGGUGUAGUGGGGUGUGGAGGUGGUGUAGUGGUGUGUGGAGGUGGUGUAGUGGGGUGUGGAGGUGGUGUAGUGGGGUGUGGAGGUGGUGUAGUGGUGUGUGGAGGUGUGUAGUGGUGUGUGGAGGUGGUGUAGUGGUGUGUGGAGGUGGUGUAGUGGUGUGUGGAGGUGUGUAGUGGUGUUUGGAGGUGGUGUAGUGUGGAGGUGGUGUAGUGGGGUGUGGUGGUGUAGUGGGGUGUGGGUGUGGAGGGAUAAGAUGAGAUGAGUUCUGUUCUGAUGAGAUGAGAUCUGUUCAGAUGAGAUAAAAUGAGUGGGGAGCGGACAGAUGCAUCUCCUGCAGGGACAUCUCUCUGGAAAAAAUAAAUCAAUUGGCAAA
This is a long non-coding RNA of Clupea harengus (Atlantic herring), 850 nucleotides long. The record is from Ensembl. NCBI's taxonomy places the organism in Eukaryota, Metazoa, Chordata, Actinopteri, Clupeiformes, Clupeidae.